Molecule: ribosomal RNA, 301 nt
Filed under: uncultured bacterium
Lineage: Bacteria
Description: partial 16S ribosomal RNA
Rfam family: Bacterial small subunit ribosomal RNA
Source: RNAcentral
CAGUAGCCACGGUAAAACGGAGGAUCCAAGCGUUAUCCGGAAUCAUUGGGUUUAAAGGGUCCGUAGGCGGUCUUGUAAGUCAGUGGUGAAAGCCCAUCGCUCAACGGUGGAACGGCCAUUGAUACUGCAGGACUUGAAUUAUUGGGAAGUAACUAGAAUAUGUAGUGUAGCGGUGAAAUGCUUAGAGAUUACAUGGAAUACCAAUUGCGAAGGCAGGUUACUACCAAUUGAUUGACGCUGAUGGACGAAAGCGUGGGUAGCGAACAGGAUUAGAUACCCCAGUAGUCCCUGUCUCUUAUAU